Lolium perenne is the source of this 1484-nucleotide long non-coding RNA. RefSeq lists it as uncharacterized. Lineage: Eukaryota; Viridiplantae; Streptophyta; Magnoliopsida; Poales; Poaceae. The record is from RefSeq and is a predicted model, not a curated record.
AGCCCAUUCACUCCGAGUCCUCUCUAGAUGGUGUACACGAUACGAUUCGUCUGCUCCUCUGUCUUCCCAGCGGCUGCCGGCGUCCUGGAGCUCCGGCGUGUCCUAGCACCCACCCACCAGCUGUUCAACGGAAUGCCCAAGAAGGAUGGCGCGAGCGGUAAUGAUCACAGACGACCUCCUCCGGCAUGUACUGUCAUUUCUGCAGACCUGCGUGCUCGAAACCCGGUGGCGUGACCAUUGGAGGCGCACCGCCAACCUGGACUUCCACGUUGACGAGAUGUCUCGGUUCCCUAGAAGGGGGCGUUUCGAGCAGUUGGCGAAGCUCAUCGUCCACCUCCGAGGGAACUCACCUCUUCAAAAGUGUGAGAUCGAUGCCACUUUUGACAAUGAGAUGGGGAUCACAUACACGAACACCAUGCUGCUGAUCGAGUAUGCUCUGAACUGCCAUGUGAAGGAGCUCCAAGUCAGUGCUGGUUAUGACGUGGAGGACCCACGAAGACUUGAUGUGCCUCUCAUCUCCAGCACUUAAAGACCAUGCACCUUGAACGAGUUAACCUAGAAUGCUCUGCUCUGAAUUACUCGCGCUGCCCAGUGUUAGAGGAUCUAAAUAUGCAACGUUGCAGAAUUGAUGCACGCAGGAUGUCAUCCAAAUCACUAAAGCGCCUGUGCAUUACCGACCUUUGUUCCUUCCCUCCGGAUAUUCGCCCCAGGUCUUAUCUCCCGGCAACUUGAUGGUUAUAGUGGCUUGACCCCUUCCCUUGAAUACAUGCCAUCUCUAGUAACAGCUUAUGUUGGGCUUGGCGCUAAAUGUGAUGAUUACUGUCAAUGUAUCGGUCUGCAUUUUGUGGAUGAUGAGUGCAGUUGUCAUGCUUAUCCUGUUGACGAGGGGGAGCUGCUCCAUGGUUUGCCCAAUACUGCGAAUUUGGAGUUGAUAGCUGGUUACAAAAUUGAAAUGUUUAUCUACAGAUGAGAUCUAAAAUGGCACCCUGUAUUUGGCAACUUAAAGACACUGCUCCUCAAUGAGUGGUCACGGCUACUGACCUAGUGUGCAUUCUCCAACACUCUCCAAUUCUUGAGAUGUUCACUCUGCAGCUGGGUAACACUGAGGCAUAUCAUGUAUAUAUAAUGAUGGUUCUGUAUUAUUAAAUGUUUUUUCAUGUACAUUAUUCUAUUAUAUCUUACUUUUUUUGAAGCACGAUAUUACUUAUUCUUUUAUAUCUUACUUAAUGUGAUGUAUCAUAUAGAAAUUCGUGAGCGCAAUAGGAGCCGAAAAAACAAAGGACAAUCAUUUGUGUGCAAGCUGUGCACACUGAAUUUAUAAAUGUUUGACGAGUGAAUUUGCAAAAUUGCAAUAUCCUCAGUACUUCAUGACCACAUUAUCAUCAUUGACCCAUGUUCUGGAUCAGACGGUAAGUUCUUUUGUCAUUCUUCAUUAUUUGUAUGUUUCUGCAAUCUUACUGCUUCAUCUAUCAUGUCUGCUGUGA